Molecule: ribosomal RNA, 429 nt
Filed under: Chloroflexota bacterium
Lineage: Bacteria; Bacillati; Chloroflexota
Also listed under: 1 other name
Description: Chloroflexi bacterium partial 16S ribosomal RNA
Rfam family: Bacterial small subunit ribosomal RNA
Source: RNAcentral
UAGGGAAUCUUCGGCAAUGGACGAAAGUCUGACCGAGCAACGCCGCGUGAGUGAAGAAGGUUUUCGGAUCGUAAAACUCUGUUGUUAGAGAAGAACAAGGACGUUAGUAACUGAACGUCCCCUGACGGUAUCUAACCAGAAAGCCACGGCUAACUACGUGCCAGCAGCCGCGGUAAUACGUAGGUGGCAAGCGUUGUCCGGAUUUAUUGGGCGUAAAGCGAGCGCAGGCGGUUUCUUAAGUCUGAUGUGAAAGCCCCCGGCUCAACCGGGGAGGGUCAUUUGAAACUGGGAGACUUGAGUGCAGAAGAGGAGAGUGGAAUUCCAUGUGUAGCGGUGAAAUGCGUAGAUAUAUGGAGGAACACCAGUGGCGAAGGCGGCUCUCUGGUCUGUAACUGACGCUGAGGCUCGAAAGCGUGGGGAGCAAACAGG